RNAcentral lists this transfer RNA (73 nucleotides) under Bos taurus (domestic cattle). It matches the Rfam family "tRNA". From Rfam's summary of the family: Transfer RNA (tRNA) molecules are approximately 80 nucleotides in length. Lineage: Eukaryota; Metazoa; Chordata; Mammalia; Artiodactyla; Bovidae. RNAcentral also lists the same sequence under 4 other names. The record is from Rfam by way of RNAcentral.
UCCCUGGUGGUCUAGUGUUUAAAACUCUGCACUUCCAGUGCAGGGGGUACGGGUUCAAUCCCUGAUCAGGAAG